UUGGGUCCCCAGGGACUUAGAGUCUUCGUGACGGUGACCAGACCUUGCAGAACCGCUCCGAGGCCCUGAGGUGGCCUGUCAUCAGCCUGGACUUGUCUUCCUCUCUGUGGGGAUG
Non-coding RNA from Canis lupus familiaris (dog), 115 nucleotides. NCBI's taxonomy places the organism in Eukaryota, Metazoa, Chordata, Mammalia, Carnivora, Canidae. The record is from RefSeq and is marked provisional.